ACAGACAACGCUGAUGAGGAUGCCUUGACAAAAUUGUUUGGUAACCCAAAAUCUGGUCAUUUAAUCGGAUAAGGAAGAGGCGUAACAAGGUCAAAGCUAACUAUUGUUAAUAUGUGUAAUAGCAAAAUCUCCAAGUUAGAAGAAGAGCAACAUAAUAUGAAGCUCAAAAUGACUGAAAUGAUGAAUCUACUUAAAGAACACUUGGUUGGUGGUAAAGUGACACCAAGCAAAGGACAGUCUCGCAAUGUACCGCAGUCAAACAAUAUUCAGUCCCCUAAGAGUAUUGCACUAGAAAAAAAACAUAACUUUACAGAAAGGGAAGAAUGCUUGCUACUUGCUUGACUGGGCAGAUGUAAUUGUUGCUGAAGGUCGUUGGGAUUCUAGUGAUCCAAAGAUAACUGUACAUGGAAAGCCUCUUGGACUAGACUUUAUGCGAGUAUGGGUUGAUGUUGAUAUUGUACCAGAAUCUUACUUAUUUCGUCCUAAUCAUGCGAUGCUUACAAUACAAGAAGCAGU
Humulus lupulus (European hop) is the source of this 516-nucleotide long non-coding RNA. RefSeq lists it as uncharacterized. Lineage: Eukaryota; Viridiplantae; Streptophyta; Magnoliopsida; Rosales; Cannabaceae. The transcript has 3 exons. The record is from RefSeq and is a predicted model, not a curated record.